Molecule: long non-coding RNA, 1521 nt
Organism: Octopus sinensis (East Asian common octopus)
Lineage: Eukaryota; Metazoa; Mollusca; Cephalopoda; Octopoda; Octopodidae
Exons: 3
Source: RefSeq, a predicted model, not a curated record
CAGAGAGGACAGACAAAUGGAUUAAGACGAUUACAUCGACCCCAGUGCGUAACUGGUACUUAAUUUAUCGACCCCGAAAGGAUGAAAGGCAAAGUCGACCUCGGCGGAAUUUGAACUAGUUAUUGAGUUACUACUGACUUUUCUUCUCCGCAUAAAAGUUCACUCAACCUUUACUGUUUUCAGGCUGAUGACGUAGCAGACAUGGAAGACCAGUGACAAGACCCAUUGACGUCAAGGAUCAAGUACAGAUCAAAGACAGCAGUAUUUGAUUUCAACUUCACUUCAUACAAUGACUCUGGUGUUUACAGGAUAUUUAUUCUCAGGUUCACUCAAAGAUAAAUUUCUCGUUUGUUCUGCACUUAAAGCAAUACCAAGGCUUUAUAUAGUUUGGAAAAGAUUUCAUCUUACAUCGAAUCAGAAAAUCUUUUGUAAGACAAUGUCUGUGGAUGUUGUCAGUGGUGCAGCUAAUUUUUUAAACUCUAGUCUCUUGUGCGAUAGAAGUCGAAUCUCUUUCUUUUUUUUUUUUCUGUUAAUGGUGUGGCCUUGGAAGAACUUUCUGGAAAACUUUAUUUGAACUGUGCUCAAUCUCCUGUGAUGUGUUGGUGGCUACUGACAUUUGAAGAACCAGCACAAACCCUGACGUCAUUGAACGACCCCGUGGAGUUUAAUCUUUUUCACGUUAUGCUGAGUUGGUAAGAAAGAAUUUUUGUCUCACUGAAUGAGAAAGAAUGGAUCACGUGCCUUCCUAUCUGGUUGAUGUUUUUGAACAACUGAAAAAAAUUGAAGCUUCAAGUGCAAGACAUGAAUACAAACACCAUUAAAUUCUUUGAAAGCUUUCAUGAGCAAAAUGGAAAAUGUAAUGUUUCAGAAACUGUUACCAAUUCUUGUUGCUAGUGGUGAAGAUUAUGCCCUCCUAUAUUUGUACAGAUAACAUUUUGCAGUCUUUGACGACACUAACAAAUGAAUUCAGUGAUUAGUUGAAUUUAAUUAAAUGUAAAACCCAUUUAAGUUCACUUUUUAAAAGUUCUUGAUGAUUGCUGAUAUAAAUGUCUAGAGCUGAAGAGUGAUUCAGAAACAAUAAUUCAUGUUCAUUAAGAAAAUGAUCACAAAAUUCUUGCUCUGUGAGCGCUGUCCAAAAUUGACAGAAAUAGCUAUUUAUGCCAUAAUUCCAUUUGUACCAUCAUUGAGUUAAGCUUUUCAACUUUGUUGUAAAUGAAAAUGAAGCAAUGAAGAAGACUAGAAGUUAAGAAUUUCCUAUAAUGUCCCUUUCUAGCACUCAUCUAUGUAUCCAAGAAUUUGGUAAAUAAAAAAAAACAAUCACAAGAAAAACAAAAAAAAAAUCAUUUUUCUCAUUGACCGUAAUCUUCAUCAGAAUAAAAUAAAUUACAAUAGCCUGGCAUUGUAUCAAAUAUUUUGUUUAUAGAAGUGUGCUACAGUAACUUCAGUCUUUAAAGUAAUUAGUUAUGAACAUAUGUAUAACAAAAAAACUAUUUUUAUUUGAGUUUUAAAAUCAACAUUUUU